This 468-nucleotide ribosomal RNA is filed under the name uncultured bacterium. RNAcentral describes it as "partial 16S ribosomal RNA". It matches the Rfam family "Bacterial small subunit ribosomal RNA", at positions 28 to 507 of the family's 1533-position model. The record is from RNAcentral.
GACGAACGCUGGCGGCGUGCUUAACACAUGCAAGUCGAACGGAAAGGCCCUGCUUUUGUGGGGUUCUCGAGUGGCGAACGGGGGAGUAACACGUGAGUAAACCGCCCUUGACUUUGGGAUAACUUCAGGAAACUGGGGCUAAUACCGGGUAGGAGCUCCUGCUGCGCGGUGGGGGUUGGAAAGUUUCGGCUGUUGGGGAUGGACUCGCGGCUUAUCAGCUGGUUGGGCAGGUAGGUGCUGACGAGGGCUUUGACGGGUAGCCGGCCUGGGAGGGUGACCGGCGACAUUGGGCCUACGGUACGGCCCAGACUCCAACGGGCGGCAGCAGUGGGAAAUCUUACACAGUGGGCGCGAGCCUGUGGCAGAAGUGCUGCGAGCGUGAUGCCGGCUUUCUGGUUAUAAACCGCUUUCGCCUGUGACGAAGCGUGAGUGACGGUAAUGGAUCAAGAAGCCCCGGCUAACUACGUG